This 495-nucleotide ribosomal RNA is filed under the name uncultured bacterium. RNAcentral describes it as "partial 16S ribosomal RNA". It matches the Rfam family "Bacterial small subunit ribosomal RNA", at positions 28 to 507 of the family's 1533-position model. The record is from RNAcentral.
GACGAACGCUGGCGGCGUGCCUAAUACAUGCAAGUAGAACGCUGAAGGAGGAGCUUGCUCUUCUGGAUGAGUUGCGAACGGGUGAGUAACGCGUAGGUAACCUGCCUGGUAGCGGGGGAUAACUAUUGGAAACGAUAGCUAAUACCGCAUAAGAGUAGAUGUUGCAUGACAUUUACUUAAAAGGUGCAAUUGCAUCACUACCAGAUGGACCUGCGUUGUAUUAGCUAGUUGGUGGGGUAACGGCUUACCAAGGCGACGAUACAUAGCCGACCUGAGAGGGGGGUCGGCCACACUGGGACUGAGACACGGCCCAGACUCCUACGGGAGGCAGCAGUAGGGAAUCUUCGGCAAUGGACGGAAGUCUGACCGAGCAACGCCGCGUGAGUGAAGAAGGUUUUCGGAUCGUAAAGCUCUGUUGUAAGAGAAGAACGAGUGUGAGAGUGGAAAGUUCACACUGUGACGGUAGCUUACCAGAAAGGGACGGCUAACUACGUG